CGCAUAACCCUAGAAGAGGACAUUUUAGUGCGUGAGAUAGCGAAGGGUAGAACCGUCAUGUUUCGAUAAUGCUGCGUCAACUGUAAAAUUCGCCGACGACAGAUAAUCAAACUCUCUCUCCCUCUCUCAUGAAUCCGUGUAACAAUGUCAACCCCAAAAUUAAUGCUUCUUCAUCUUAGGAUUUGGUUGAUCUAUGCUCAACUAUAAGAAUCUUUUUCUGAGGCCGGGGUCGAUUGACAAUUCAAGCUUCCGUAAAAAAGAGCUCAUCGUUCCCUCUAGACUGGCAUGGGCAACUUCAUGCUUCCCUGCUUGCCCGGCUGUGGUUGAUAUAGUAGGAAGCAAAAAGUUCCAUUCUCAACAAAUAAGUCUCAAAGGUUUUGGAGUGAGGGAGGUCCUGUCACUGGCUCAGGAACAGAUGGAGAUGAACACGGUCGUCGCAGAAAAUGCAGACCACUUACAUCCUACAUAUGAAACAACUAUGGAGGCUCUUUCCUCUCUCAUUACUACCAAAAGACGAGGGGAUGUGCAAACAAUCAGUAAUAAGUAUAGCAAAUUAGAGAGGAUGGAAAUGUAUGUUAAGAUUUUGGGUUUGGAAGAACCUAUAGGCCGACUUAAAAUCAUCCAUGUUGCUGGGACUAAAGGGAAGGGUUCGACAUGCUCAUUUUGUGAGGCAAUUCUAAGAGAGAGUGGAUUCAGAACUGGAUUAUUUACCUCGCCACACUUAAUUGACGUGAGAGAAAGAUUUCGUCUGGAUGGGCAGGAUAUAUCUGAAGAAAAGUUUCUCCACUACUUUUGGGAAUGCUGGAACCAGCUGAAGCGGAAUAUCACAGAUGAUUUGCCUAUGCCUCCACUUUUCCAGUUUCUUACUGUAUUGGCCUUCAAAAUUUUUGCUUGUGAAAAGGUAGAUGUUGCUAUCAUUGAAGUUGGCCUUGGGGGUACCAGGGACUCAACAAAUGUGAUCAAGAAUCCUGUUGUCUGUGGUGUAAGUCCGCUUGGCAUGGAUCAUAUGGAAACGCUCGGAGAUACGCUGGAGCAGAUUGCUUCUCACAAAGCAGGAAUCUUAAAGCCUCACGUGCCUGCAUUCACGGUAACACAACCAUCUGAAGCAAUGGGUGUUCUUCAACAAAAGGCGAGGGAUUUGAUGGUCCCAUUGGAAGUCGUUGCUCCUCUUGAUCGUAGUAAUUUAAAAGGGAUAGAACUAAGCUUGUCUGGCGAUCACCAAUUCACGAAUGCUGGUCUUGCCAGUGCACUUUGCAAAAGCUGGCUCCAGAGUACAGGGAAUUGGGAAAAACUUCUCCAGCAUCCUGGCGAGGAAGACAACAUACCCGAUGCAUUUCUUAGGGGUCUUCAAACAGCGCGUCUCUCUGGAAGGGCUGAGAUUGUUCGUGACUCUACACUAUCGUCUUCUGCAAUGGCUAGCGAGGCUGAGAAUACUUCAGGGGAUCUCGUUUUUUACUUGGACGGUGCUCACAGUCCCGAAAGCAUAGAGGCUUGUGCCAGGUGGUUUUCAAGUGCUGUAAAAGGAAAGACAUCGAAAGAAGUUUGGGGCAAUGGUGAUGUUAAGGGAAAAAUAUCCAAAAAGAUUCUUCUGUUCAACUGUAUGGAUGUCAGAGAUCCCCAAAGCCUUCUCCCGAUACUUGUUGAUACCUGUGCAUCGUCGGGCACACAUUUUGCAAAAGCCAUUUUCGUUCCUGGCAUCUCGUCUUACACGAAGGUGACUUCUGCCUCCUCCAUUCCUUCAGGGAUACCUCCCAAGGAUUUAUCUUGGCAGUUCAACCUUCAAAGAGUUUGGGAAAACAUCAUUCAUGGAAAAGAUGCUGUUAACAAGAAUCUUGAGGCGAGAAUCCCAGAUAGUGUUCCACCUCGCAGGUUCCUUGACAAUGAUGCAGCCGGUUGCAGUGCAGUGGUCUCUUCCCUGCCAAUGACAAUCAAUUGGCUAAGGGACUGCGUGAAGAUAAACCCGUCACUCAGAAUUCAGGUUCUUGUCACGGGGUCGUUGCACCUGGUUGGGGAUGUGUUGAAGCUACUUCGGAGAUGAUUUAGGAAGAAACUCUCGAGCUAAAUUAAGAGUCGUGUGACACUCUUCUACUCCAGCCCCGGUACCACACAUGCGAAGCUUGUACGCAGUGUGAUGAAAUAACAGACGAGACAUGCAAAACUUCUACGCUAUAUGUAAUGAAUGUAUAUCAGUUCCAAAACAAUGCCCCCAAUAGUGAAAGCAAAAACAGGGUAUCCUUUGGCGUUGGGGUUGCUUAUUUGUUGUGUUGCUUACACUACUUAAUAAUUUUCUUGCUCACCUCGGACCACUUCUAUGGGUAACAUGCACUCGGGCGUAGACGGAUUCUCGACUGUGAUGAUGCUUAGGCCAUCAAAGCGGCAAGCUUUCUCGCCUUGAAAUCUGAACUGGAAAUACUUGUUAAGCGCGGACAUCACAUUUUGGUUGAAACUGAUGUUGUUGCAAGAACGGCCCGAUUUCAAACUACUACAAAGGCGUAAUCAAGUUGCUUCAUCACCAUAAGGUAGUCUGUCCGGUUCCCAUUGAAGACGCACCACCACUCUGGCAUCCUCAUAAUCCCCUUGGCUGAUGAUGGGUAAAUAUCACGACCUAAAACUGUCAGGUCGAUCUUGAAUUUAGGCUUCCCGUUGGAGCGUUAGAGCCCCCUCAUGAAAAAUCGGGCAUUUUGUUUUGGUCAGUAAGUGCGUGGACGAAAGUGUCGAUGGGCCCCGGGGUGGAGCGGGGUCUCCUUGCUGCUCGACACAUAUGAGAGUAUGCCUUUGAAGAAUCGCUCCGCGGUGGAGGUAUAACCACGGGCGUAGCCAUCGGUGGACCAACCAACUUGGCCGACGAUGACCUUGAUGAAGGCCAAAAAGGCAUCGUACAUGAAAUCGAUGAUGCUCGUGUAGAUGACUUGAUGACUUGGGUUGGCUUCUCUACGAAGGCGAUCUUGAAUUUCUCCAAGUCGAAUGACGGGAUCAUGUCCACCACGAAUGGGGCGUUGAGUGUCUCCACCAUCUCCAGCAUCUAAAGGCUUGUGAUGUUUGGCUUCAACUCGCUGUUCAUUCAACUCGCUUUGUCUUUCAAUCCAUACACAAAUGGAUAGCAACCAACGCAGGUUAGCUUUGGAGGAUAGCUCCUCCAUUUUGCAACCCUAAAUCCAAAACUUGUGAUGGUAUCAAUCUCUCACCACUCUCUCUCUUCCCCAAUUUAAUUAUCUACACCUGUCUUUGUCAUCAAAAUUAUUACUAUCUCCGUCCUUCAAAAUUAGAAACCUUUGAAA
Salvia splendens (bonfire salvia) is the source of this 3278-nucleotide RNA transcript. It is a transcript of the gene named folylpolyglutamate synthase, with no coding region annotated. The record is from RefSeq and is a predicted model, not a curated record. Lineage: Eukaryota; Viridiplantae; Streptophyta; Magnoliopsida; Lamiales; Lamiaceae. The transcript has 18 exons.